AGUGAACGCUGGCGGUAGGCCUAACACAUGCAAGUCGAACGGCAGCACAGUAAGAGCUUGCUCUUACGGGUGGCGGGUGGCGGACGGGUGAGGAAUACAUCGGAAUCUACUUUUUCGUGGGGGAUAACGUAGGGAAACUUACGCUAAUACCGCAUACGACCUACGGGUGAAAGCAGGGGAUCUUCGGACCUUGCGCGAUUGAAUGAGCCGAUGUCGGAUUAGCUAGUUGGCGGGGUAAGGGCCCGCCAAGGCGACGAUCCGUAGCUGGUCUGAGAGGAUGAUCAGCCACACUGGAACUGAGACACGGUCCAGACUCCUACGGGAGGCAGCAGUGGGGAAUAUUGGACAAUGGGCGCAAGCCUGAUCCAGCCAUACCGCGUGGGUGAAGAAGGCCUUCGGGUUGUAAAGCCCUUUUGUUGGGAAAGAAAAGCAGCAGGUUAAUACCCCGCUGUUCUGACGGUACCCAAAGAAUAAGCACCGGCUAACUUCGUG
This 492-nucleotide ribosomal RNA is filed under the name uncultured bacterium. RNAcentral describes it as "partial 16S ribosomal RNA". It matches the Rfam family "Bacterial small subunit ribosomal RNA", at positions 29 to 507 of the family's 1533-position model. The record is from RNAcentral.